CCCUUUCUGAAGAUACCAAUGAAACUUCUCUUUCAGCCUCAUUUAUGGCUUCCUCCAAAGCUUUAAGCUGUUCAGAGUCCCUAGCUGCAGCCAGCUCAGCAUCCUUUCUCUGGAGUAGUGCAUGAGCACGAACUUUAUAUGAGGAAAAUUCACUUUCAAGGUGGUUGAUCUCCUCUUUGGCAGCCAACAGUUCACUGUCCUUCUUGUUUAGCAUCUGGUUUUGUACAGAUACUUCUAAUUCCAGCUGACUUCUCAUUUUAGCUGCCUCAAUUUCAGAACGUAUGCAGUUGCUCUCAGCAAUUUCAAGUUUCAUUUUGAGUGCCUGGGAGGCAGCUUCCCAGCUCUCUUUUUCCUUCUCAUGCUCCUGUUUUUGGUGAGCAAGCUCUCCUUUUACACUUUC
Molecule: unclassified non-coding RNA, 400 nt
Filed under: Hevea brasiliensis (rubber tree)
Lineage: Eukaryota; Viridiplantae; Streptophyta; Magnoliopsida; Malpighiales; Euphorbiaceae
Source: RNAcentral